Molecule: ribosomal RNA, 492 nt
Filed under: uncultured bacterium
Lineage: Bacteria
Description: bacterial SSU rRNA
Rfam family: Bacterial small subunit ribosomal RNA
Source: RNAcentral
AAAUGAAUUGACGGGGGCCCGCACAAGCGGAGGAGCAUGUGGCUUAAUUCGAUGCAACGCGAAGAACCUUACCCGGGUUUGACAUGUAUCUGCAAGUCCUAUGAAAGUAGGAUUCCUUCGAGGGUGAUACACAGGUGCUGCAUGGCUGUCGUCAGUUCGUGCCGUGAGGUGUUUGGUUAAGUCCAGCAACGAACGCAACCCCUGUGCCUAUUUAACAACGGUUCGGCCGGUUCCUUUAGGCAGACUGCCUGUUUACACAGGAGGAAGGUGGGGACGACGUCAAGUCAGUAUGGCCCUUACAUCCGGGGCUGCACACGUGCUACAAUGGCCGGUACAGAGGGACGCAAUACCGCGAGGUGGAGCAAAUCCUUAGAGCCGGCCCCAGUUCAGAUUGCAGUCUGCAACUCGACUGCAUGAAGUCGGAUUCGCUAGUAACGGCGCAUCAGCAUUGGCGCCGUGAAUACGUUCCCGGGCCUUGUACACACCGCCCGU